UUUCUGUGCUGUGGAAGGUUUGUUCUUUCACUCUGCACUAUUUUGCAAUAAAUAUUGCUAUUGCUCACUUUGGGUUUAUAUUGCCUUUAUGAGCUGUAACACUCACCAUGAAGGUCUGCAGCUUUACUCUUGAAGCUUAGCGAGACCACUAACCCACCAGAAGGAAGAAACUCCGGACACGCCGCCUUUAAGAACUGUAAUACUCAGUGCGAGGGUUCACGGCUUCAUUCUUGAGAAAGACAACGAGGAGGGAGCAGCUAGAGGGGUGGAAAUGGGAUCACGUGACCUUGCGAGAAGCAGGGAGAGAGAACACUGCGUCUGCUCCCUUUUAGAACAGCUCAAUAUAGGGAAUCCCUAACAGAGGACUUCCAGGAUAUCCUAGGGACAGCAGAGCCUCAAGAUCCAGGGAGGAUCCUGGAUACCUGAGUCACCACUUGGAGGGGAAUCUCCUGGAAGAACUGAUUGAUCAGCAACAUCUACAUUCAACUUGAGCCUAAAUCAGCAUCCAGCGGCCUUGAGGAAAAAGACUGAGGUUGCUACAGAGGAGAGCAGAAAGAAGAAGGGAGCUAACGUUCAGCUUUUGAUAUUCAAAAUGAGAUUUCUUGGCAAAAUAAUAGGAGAGGAAAAAAUUUUUCCAAGUUUCUUUAGCUCCUAUUUAACAGAUCAAGACUGGCUUUGAUGUGUUGCUCCAGUUCCCCUACCCUCUCCUGCCCUGCUUAGGCCUUGCCUCUUGGUUACAUAGAGGGAGCAGUUGUGGGGAGGAAGAGGCCACCUCUGCUGGUCUACAGUCAAGGUAUUAUCUGGGGCUGGGGUCUCAUCUGAAGACUCAACUGGGGAAAGAUCCACAUCUAAGCUCAUGUGAUUGUGGGGGAGGAAGGGAGGGAGAAGGAUAGAGAGGGAGGUGCUGUGCUUUCUUCCCUGAGCCUUGGGAGGUGGGAGGUCUGGAGGUGGCCUUGAGACCAGCCUGCUAGGAGGUUAUGGGACCUGAGGGGCAGGGGAAAGCUUUUGCCCAGCUACAGGUGGAGUGUGGUCACAUCUCACAUGCUCAGCCUGCUUGGGCUGAAGGAGGCCUGAACAUUUCCAUCCCCAAGCUGACCUCAGUUUAUACUUGUUAGAGUAGCUGACGGAUUGCUGAGAAGCUGGCUACUGGGGAGGACAGUCAUUGUGGGCUGGCCAGGAAGGCUGCCUCUUUCAACGUCCCCAAGGCAACCACUCUAUGUCAGCAAGGACUCCUGAACCCAUGGCAACCCACCAGCUGCUGCUCUGGGAAGUGAGACCUUACCAGCUUGCUGCCUCCCCAGCAAUGCAGCUGCCCUGUUGGUCAGGACAACCUCUCAGGAGGGUAUCAGGCCCUGGUGUACAGUCCUUUCUUCUAGAAAGAGACAAACAGUGCAAUCACCACAGCCUCCCACUUCUUCUUAGACAGAUCUCACAUCGGAUUCACAGGGGCUUCCUGGGAACAUAAUUCUGUUGAGCCUUAGAAAUCAGGUAGGAUUUUGACUGAUUUGGGAGGUUGGUUAAUUUUACUUUUAUUUUGUUCUCUACAGCUGCUGUUAAGCCUGGCUUAGGGGUCCACCCUUUCCCAGCCCCCUUCCCUUUCUUUAUAACCUGGAUUUUGCACAAUCUAUAUCUCUCUAUAUCUCUGCAUCCAUCCAUCCAUCCAUCCAUCCAUCCAUCCAUCCAUCCAUCUCCCUCCCUUUGCCCAUUUGUCUCUUUCUUGAUAUAGGCUAGACUUUCCCAAAGUAAUUUCAACAAAAAGUAAAGGAAAAAAUCAAAUGAGAUGCACACCUUUCUCUCCAAGCCACAAACAGUGCAUAACAUCAUCAGGUAGUCAGGCUUCUGAAGGUUCUCUACACACGCCUGAUCUCUCCAAUAGCUAAGGCUCUCACUUUCAGUGUGGUUAGUGGUUAGGGAAAUGGACUUGAGAGCUGGACUGCCUGGGCUCAAUUCUCAGCUCUGGUACUGGUCUCAUGGCCUUGGGAAAGUGUUUUGUUGUUGUUGUUUUGUUUUUACAUUUCUCUGCCUCAGUGCUUCUUCGGUAAAAUGGGAAUAAAAAGAGUAACUGUCUCAUAAGAUGACUGUGAGAAUGAAAUCAGUGAAUUAAUAUGUACAAAGAGCUUAAACAUCACUUGGAACAUAGUAAGUGAUAUAUGAGAGUCAGUUCUUAUGACUAGUACUGGGCACAUAAGGUGGCAAGACCCCCUUAUCCCCAUUUUUAGUUCUUGGCAAGUCCCCCUUUGACUCCAGGUUGCUAAGCACAGCUAUGCAGGUUGCACACUACAUACCCCAUCUCCACAGACUCACUCACUCACUCUUCUCCUGUGCAGGGAGGAGUUAGGGUGGCGUUUCGGGCAGAUCAUUAUGGCAAAUGGAGUUUGCAGCAGGACUAACAGGGUCACCUUCAGGGUCCUGGAUGAAGUUCAUUCUUUCAGGGCCACAGAAGCGUAGAAAACUCUUUAGUCAUAAGUUGGUGGGGGUGCCAAGAGGAAAGGCACAGCAGAGAAUGCUAAGAGCCUAAGGAUGUGACUGGAGAAUCUCCUGAAGUUAUAGAUCCUGCAGGCAGGGCUGGCUUCAGGGAAGUGCAACCUGUGCAGUCGCACUGGUCCACAUGCUUGGAAGAGGCCCCUUAUUUUCACUUUGCACUGAGUCCUCAAGUUACAUGACUGGUCAGUCCUACCCCAUAAGGCAUGGAUUGCAAAGGAGAACAAAGAAUCCACGGAGGUGAUCGACUUUGAGGUGAAGCUGGGAGAGGAAGAUGAUGGUGCCAUCAACAGAAAAAGGCUUUGAUGACUCAGGCUGCCAUACUGAAGAUGCCCACAUGGCCAGGAGCUGGGACCUUUAUUCUAACAACCCUCAAGCAGCUGAAUCCUGCCAAUAAUCAUGUGAGCUUGGAUGUGGGUCCUUCCCUACUUGAACCUUCAGAUGAGACCCCAGCCCCAGCUGAUACUUUGACUGCAGCUUUGUGAGAGACCCUGAGACAGAGGACCGAGAUGAGCCAUGCCUUGGCUGCUGGCCCACAAAAACUGUGAGAUCAAAAUGAUGUGUUGUUUUAAGCCAUUAACUGUGUGGUAACUUGUCAAACAGUGUAUUAGGCCAUUUGUGUUGCUACAAAGGAAUACCCGAGGCUGAGUAGUUUAUUAAGAAAAGAGGUUUAAUUGGCUUAUGGUUCUGCA
RNAcentral lists this long non-coding RNA (3173 nucleotides) under Homo sapiens (human). Its description in RNAcentral is "HSALNT0391627". The record is from RNAcentral. Lineage: Eukaryota; Metazoa; Chordata; Mammalia; Primates; Hominidae.